GACGAACGCUGGCGGCGUGCCUAACACAUGCAAGUCGAACGGAAAGUCCCGGCUUGCUGGCUACUGGGUUGGUGAAGGGGGGGGUAAUGCGCGUGGGAUCUGACCUACUCCUCGGGAGAAGUCCGGGUAACUGGUUCUAUUUUCGGGUAGAAGCCAUUUUGAGUGUGAAUGGUGGAAAGUUGGUUUGGUGUAGGGUGAGGUUGCGGCCUAACAGCUUGGUGGUGGGGUAAUGGCCUACCAAGGCGGCGACGGGUAGCCGGCCUGGGAAGGUGGACGGCCACAGUGGGACUGAGACACGGCCCAGACUCCUACGGGAGGCAGCAGUGGGGAAGAUUGAACAAUGGGCGCAAGCCUGAUGCAGCGCCGCCGCGGGGGGGAUGACGGCCUUCGGGUUGUAAACUCCUUUCGCUAGGGACGAAGCUUUUUGUGACGGUACCUAGAUAAGAAGCACCGGCUAACUACGUG
RNAcentral lists this ribosomal RNA (465 nucleotides) under uncultured bacterium. RNAcentral's name for it is "partial 16S ribosomal RNA". It matches the Rfam family "Bacterial small subunit ribosomal RNA", at positions 28 to 507 of the family's 1533-position model. The record is from RNAcentral.